Molecule: ribosomal RNA, 855 nt
Filed under: uncultured organism
Description: bacterial SSU rRNA
Rfam family: Bacterial small subunit ribosomal RNA
Source: RNAcentral
CCGUAUGAAUAAGCAUCGGCUAACUCCGUGCCAGCAGCCGCGGUAAUACGGAGGAUGCAAGCGUUAUCCGGAUUCAUUGGGUUUAAAGGGUGCGUAGGCGGAUUGGUAAGUCAGUGGUGAAAUCCUCUCGCUUAACGGGAGAAUUGCCGUUGAUACUAUCAAUCUUGAGUACACUUGAAGUGGGCGGAAUGUGUCAUGUAGCGGUGAAAUGCAUAGAUAUGACACAGAACACCGAUUGCGAAGGCAGCUCACUAAAUUGUAACUGACGCUGAGGCACGAAAGCGUGGGGAGCAAACAGGAUUAGAUACCCUGGUAGUCCACGCUGUAAACGAUGAUCACUAGCUGUUGGCGAUACACUGUCAGCGGCUGAGCGAAAGUAUUAAGUGAUCCACCUGGGGAGUACGAUCGCAAGGUUGAAACUCAAAGGAAUUGACGGGGGCCCGCACAAGCGGAGGAGCAUGUGGUUUAAUUCGAUGAUACGCGAGGAACCUCACCUAGGCUUAAAUGCUUUUUGACCGUCCUGGAAACAGGAUUUCCCUUCGGGGCAAAUUGCAAGGUGCUGCAUGGUUGUCGUCAGCUCGUGCCGUGAGGUGUCGGGUUAAGUCCCAUAACGAGCGCAACCCCUAUUCUUAGUUGCCAUCAGGUAAUGCUGGGAACUCUAAGGAAACUGCCUACGCAAGUAGUGAGGAAGGUGGGGAUGACGUCAAAUCAGCACGGCCCUUACGCCUAGGGCUACACACGUGCUACAAUGGCCAGCAUAGUGGGUUGCUACCUGGUAACAGGACGCUAAUCUCUAAAUCUGGUCUCAGUUCGGAUUGAAGUCUGCAACUCGACUUCAUGAAGUUGGAUUCGCUA